Erinaceus europaeus (western European hedgehog) is the source of this 291-nucleotide unclassified non-coding RNA. Its record names the gene 7SK. It matches the Rfam family "7SK RNA". From Rfam's summary of the family: 7SK was discovered as an abundant small nuclear RNA in the mid-70s but a possible function has only recently been suggested. Two independent studies have found that 7SK RNA binds the CDK9/cyclin T complex (known as elongation factor P-TEFb). P-TEFb activates transcription by phosphorylating the C-terminal domain of RNA polymerase II. The record is from Ensembl. Lineage: Eukaryota; Metazoa; Chordata; Mammalia; Eulipotyphla; Erinaceidae.
GGAUGUGAGGGCUAUCUGACUGGGACAUCUGUCAUCCCAUUGAUCGCCAGGGUUGAUUCGGGCUGAUCUGGCUGGCUAGGUGGGUGUCCCCUUCCUCCCUCGCCUCUCCUCCCAGAAGCUGUGCUCUGGAUUGAAGAAGAUGACCUUCCCCUAAUAGAGACAGACCGAUCUUCGAUUGAGGGUAUAAGAGUAGCUGACCUCCCCUGCUAGAACCUCCAAACAAGCUCUCAGGGAAGGGAGACACAAGAGCAGUAAGGCUGCUUAUUCAACUGGGUCACUCCCUGUGACAGG